Molecule: ribosomal RNA, 424 nt
Filed under: Verrucomicrobiota bacterium
Lineage: Bacteria; Pseudomonadati; Verrucomicrobiota
Description: Verrucomicrobia bacterium partial 16S ribosomal RNA
Rfam family: Bacterial small subunit ribosomal RNA
Source: RNAcentral
UGAGGAAUAUUGGUCAAUGGACGCAAGUCUGAACCAGCCAAGUAGCGUGCAGGAUGACGGCCCUAUGGGUUGUAAACUGCUUUUAUAUGGGGAUAAAGUGGGGAACGUGUUCCCUUUUGCAGGUACCAUAUGAAUAAGGACCGGCUAAUUCCGUGCCAGCAGCCGCGGUAAUACGGAAGGUCCGGGCGUUAUCCGGAUUUAUUGGGUUUAAAGGGAGCGUAGGCCGCGUUUUAAGCGUGUUGUGAAAUGUAGACGCCCAACGUCUGCAUCGCAGCGCGAACUGGGACGCUUGAGUACGCGCAACGUUGGCGGAAUUCGUCGUGUAGCGGUGAAAUGCUUAGAUAUGACGAGGAACUCCGAUUGCGAAGGCAGCUGACGGGAGCGGCACUGACGCUUAAGCUCGAAGGUGCGGGUAUCAAACAGG